RNAcentral lists this ribosomal RNA (228 nucleotides) under uncultured Lactobacillus sp. Its description in RNAcentral is "partial 16S ribosomal RNA". It matches the Rfam family "Bacterial small subunit ribosomal RNA", at positions 134 to 355 of the family's 1533-position model. The record is from RNAcentral. Lineage: Bacteria; Bacillati; Bacillota; Bacilli; Lactobacillales; Lactobacillaceae.
GAGAUCGGGAUAACACCUGGAAACAGAUGCUAAUACCGGAUAACAACAGAUGAUGCCUAUCAACUGUUUAAAAGAUGGUUCUGCUAUCACUCUUGGAUGGACCUGCGGUGCAUUAGCUAGUUGGUAGGGUAACGGCCUACCAAGGCGAUGAUGCAUAGCCGAGUUGAGAGACUGAUCGGCCACAUUGGGACUGAGACACGGCCCAAACUCCUACGGGAGGCAGCAGCC